ACGAGACUUAACUGCUAAAUAGUGCGCGAACUUAUGUUUCGUCGCUACUCUAGAGGGACUUUGUGUGUUUACACAGAAGCUUGAGGCAUACAGGUCUGUGAUGCCUUAGAUGUCUGGGCUGCACGCGCGCUACACUGACACGAUCAACAAGUAUUUCCUUGCCCGGUAGGGUUAGGGUAAUCUUUUGAAAUCGUGUCGUGCUAGGGAUAGACGAUUGCAAUUAUUCGUCUUCAACGAGGAAUUCCUAGUAAAUGCAAGUCAUCAGCUUGCGUUGAUUACGUCCCUGCCCUUUGUACACACCGCCCGUCGCUCCUACCGAUUGAGUGAUCCGGUGAGCUGUCCGGACUGCGAUUAGUUCAGUUUCUGUUCUCUUCGCGGGAAGUUCUGCAAACCUUAUCACUUAGAGGAAGGAGAAGUCGUAACAAGGUUUCCGUAGGUGAACCUGCGGAAGGAUCAUUC
This 459-nucleotide non-coding RNA is filed under the name Perkinsus marinus ATCC 50983. RNAcentral describes it as "Eukaryotic small subunit ribosomal RNA". It matches the Rfam family "Eukaryotic small subunit ribosomal RNA", at positions 1335 to 1831 of the family's 1831-position model. The record is from Rfam by way of RNAcentral. Lineage: Eukaryota; Perkinsozoa; Perkinsida; Perkinsidae.